RNAcentral lists this ribosomal RNA (396 nucleotides) under uncultured bacterium. RNAcentral describes it as "bacterial SSU rRNA". It matches the Rfam family "Bacterial small subunit ribosomal RNA", at positions 355 to 768 of the family's 1533-position model. The record is from RNAcentral.
UGGGGAAUCUUGCACAAUGGAGGAAACUCUGAUGCAGCGACGCCGCGUGAGCGAAGAAGCCUUUCGGGGUGUAAAGCUCUUACGCCAGGGACGAUAAUGACGGUACCUGGAGAAGCAGCUGCGGCUAACUACGUGCCAGCAGCCGAGGUAAUACGUAGGCAGCAAGCGUUGUUCGGAAUUACUGGGCGUAAAGGGUGCGUAGGCGGCGCUCUAAGUUUGGUGUGAAAUCUCCCGGCUUAACUGGGAGGGUGCACUGAAAACUGGGGCGCUCGAGUAUGGGAGAAGAAAGCGGAAUUCCUGGUGUAGCGGUGAAAUGCGUAGAAAUCAGGAGGAACACCUGCGGUGCAGACGGCUUUCUGGACCAUCAAUGACGCUGAGGCACGAAAGCGUGGGUAG